CACGUAGUUAGCCGUGGCUUAUUCACCAGGUACCUUCAAUUUACCUCGCAAGGUAUUUUUAUCCCCUGGCAAAAGCAGUUUACAACCCAGAAGGCCUUCUUCCUGCACGCGGCAUGGCUGGUUCAGGCUCUCACCCAUUGACCAAUAUUCCCUA
This 154-nucleotide ribosomal RNA is filed under the name uncultured bacterium. RNAcentral's name for it is "partial 16S ribosomal RNA". The record is from RNAcentral.